RNAcentral lists this ribosomal RNA (253 nucleotides) under uncultured bacterium. RNAcentral describes it as "partial 16S ribosomal RNA". It matches the Rfam family "Bacterial small subunit ribosomal RNA", at positions 524 to 776 of the family's 1533-position model. The record is from RNAcentral.
GACGUAGGGGGCGAGCGUUGUCCGGAUUCAUUGGGCGUAAAGAGCGCGUAGGCGGCCCGGAAAGUGGGGUGUGAAAACCCGAGGCUCAACCUCGGGCGUGCAUCCAAACUCCCGGGCUCGAGGCAGGUAGGGGAGAUCGGAAUUCCUGGUGUAGCGGUGAAAUGCGCAGAUAUCAGGAGGAACACCGGUGGCGAAGGCGGAUCUCUGGGCCGUGUUCUGACGCUGAGGCGCGAAAGCUAGGGGAGCGAACAGG